GACUAUUUAGUUUAUAAAAAUGUGGGUUUUGUAUACCCAAGAUGAGUUAUUCAGUAGUCU
RNAcentral lists this transfer RNA (60 nucleotides) under Hydatigera parva. RNAcentral's name for it is "tRNA-Thr". Lineage: Eukaryota; Metazoa; Platyhelminthes; Cestoda; Cyclophyllidea; Taeniidae. The record is from RNAcentral.